This 253-nucleotide ribosomal RNA is filed under the name uncultured bacterium. RNAcentral's name for it is "partial 16S ribosomal RNA". It matches the Rfam family "Bacterial small subunit ribosomal RNA", at positions 524 to 776 of the family's 1533-position model. The record is from RNAcentral.
UACAGAGGUGGCAAGCGUUGUUCGGAAUUACUGGGCGUAAAGGGCGCGUAGGCGGCCCACUAAGUCAGACGUGAAAUCCCCCGGCUUAACCUGGGAACUGCGUCUGAUUCUGGAGGGCUUGAGUAUGGGAGAGGGAUGUAGAAUUCCAGGUGUAGCGGUGAAAUGCGUAGAUAUCUGGAGGAAUACCGGUGGCGAAGGCGGCAUCCUGGACCAUUACUGACGCUGAGGCGCGAAAGCUAGGGGAGCAAACGGG